UGUUGUUGUUCUAUGCGAAGUCUGUGUACUUGUUCUGUCUUUGCAGAUCCUAGGACUCUGUAGGAAACUGCCAUUUUGAUUGUGCGGAUGGAUGUUCCCUUAAGAAGUUAUCAGUACUAAUAGAGCUGAAACCUGCUAGGAAGUUGAUCCAUCAGGAAGAGCGAGGAAAGUGUUAAUAUACAGUGAAUCUCUGUGAAGCCACUGAAAAGACCAGUGGGCCAGAAUCCAAUCAGAGACAUUGGGGAAGGGAAGAAGCUACAUCAGUGGAUAUGAGAAGAGGUACAUUUCUUCCUCGAUCAGUCCCUGAGCAACCGCAUCAGAACACUCUCUGUCUUUGCUCCCUCACCCAAGCGUGGCAAGUCAUUCUGUUCUGGAGGGUUUCCAGAAGCACUGGGAGCACAUGGAGGUUGCAUGAGGAAGCUGCCUAUUUGAUAUAUUGAAAUAUGAGAUCUCUGAACUCUUCCAGCAAUUUUUUACAACUUGUGAAAACAUCAGGGAAUAAAUGUAGUUGGUACAUCUGUAUCUGUGAAU
This 531-nucleotide long non-coding RNA is filed under the name Pogona vitticeps (central bearded dragon). RNAcentral describes it as "lncRNA (ENSPVIG00000021844.1)". The record is from RNAcentral. Lineage: Eukaryota; Metazoa; Chordata; Lepidosauria; Squamata; Agamidae.